CGUUCUAACUCUGAUCAGUUAUCCUGAUCGAAGACAGUGUCUGGCAGGCAGUUUGACUGGGGCGGUCGCCUCCUAAAAGAUAACGGAGGCGCUCAAAGGUUUGCUCAGAAUGGUUGGAAAUCAUUCGUAGCGUGUAAAGGCAUAAGCAAGCUUGACUGUGAGACUGACAAGUCGAGCAGGUACGAAAGUAGGACUUAGUGAUCCGGUGGUUCCGUAUGGAAGGGCCAUCGCUCAACGGACAAAAGCUACCCCGGGGAUAACAGGCUCAUCUCCCCCAAGAGUCCACAUCGACGGGGAGGUUUGGCACCUCGAUGUCGGCUCAUCGCAUCCUGGGGCUGUAGUCGGUCCCAAGGGUUGGGCUGUUCGCCCAUUAAAGCGGUACGCGAGCUGGGUUCAGAACGUCGUGAGAC
RNAcentral lists this ribosomal RNA (410 nucleotides) under Oenococcus oeni. Its description in RNAcentral is "bacterial LSU rRNA". It matches the Rfam family "Bacterial large subunit ribosomal RNA", at positions 2218 to 2627 of the family's 2925-position model. Lineage: Bacteria; Bacillati; Bacillota; Bacilli; Lactobacillales; Lactobacillaceae. The record is from RNAcentral.